Prosopis cineraria is the source of this 841-nucleotide long non-coding RNA. RefSeq lists it as uncharacterized. NCBI's taxonomy places the organism in Eukaryota, Viridiplantae, Streptophyta, Magnoliopsida, Fabales, Fabaceae. The transcript is spliced from 2 exons. The record is from RefSeq and is a predicted model, not a curated record.
UGACCAAAUGACUAAAUUAUUAUCAUCAAAUUCUCUCCCGUUCCUCCCCAGCUCCCGUUUAUGCAAUUUCUCCUGGCGAUGUCCCAGCCAUGAUUCCGAUGGCGAGUAAGUUGAGGUCGGCAACGAUUGGCGACUCUCACCUUGCCCUCCCUCUUCAACUCUUAUUUCAAUCGUAUACCGCGUGCUCUGAAUUCUGAACCUUAAAAUCAUGGUUUGGGGGUUUGUUUGGUGGGGACAAGAAGGAUGAACCCAGCACGAGUGGGGAAAGCGUAACCAAUGUUUUGUAGAGUUUUGAUGCUCCGUCAAUCCUAAAUUUUGAAUACAAGAGAGCUGGGGUUUGAAGCAAUAUUUGUGUUUUAUGAGUAAUCAAAUCUUACAGGUUUAUUUAAUUUUUACGCAAUACAUGUGUUGGCUUUGGGUUCUUGUUUCUGUCCAUCCUUCUCAAUUUUGGAAUUACAAGAAUUUAAUUAUUGGGAAGAAUAAUGAAGAUGGCCUCUUCUUGAUGAAGAAGAUGGAUCAUUUGAGGAACUAGAAGAAGAUAUGUAAUUUCUAGGCAAGGAUGAGAAAGAGAUGUAAUUGAGCAUGGACCUCUCAAACAAAAGCAAGUUACAAAAGAGAACUUUUACAAGAUAUAAUUUGUUACUCUAUAAUUGUAGUAGCUUGUAGGGAUGAAUUGUAUAUGAAAAUAAUCUAUGAGAUGUUAUAGCUUGUAUUAGAUGGAAACUUAUGUUUUGUUUCGAUAUUUUGAGAGUUGGAAUUGAUAAAUUAUAAUUGUUACAAAACCAUAUGAGAUGUGAAAGUCUGUAUUAAUUCAAUGUUAAUAAACUUAUUAAUCAAUUUA